RNAcentral lists this ribosomal RNA (466 nucleotides) under uncultured bacterium. Its description in RNAcentral is "partial 16S ribosomal RNA". It matches the Rfam family "Bacterial small subunit ribosomal RNA", at positions 28 to 507 of the family's 1533-position model. The record is from RNAcentral.
GAUGAACGCUGGCGGCGUGCUUAACACAUGCAAGUCGAACGAUGAAGCCCAGCUUGCUGGGUGGAUUAGUGGCGAACGGGUGAGUAACACGUGAGUAACCUGCCCUUAACUCUGGGAUAAGCCUGGGAAACUGGGUCUAAUACCGGAUAGGAGCGUCCACCGCAUGGUGGGUGUUGGAAAGAUUUAUCGGUUUUGGAUGGACUCGCGGCCUAUCAGCUUGUUGGUGAGGUAAUGGCUCACCAAGGCGACGACGGGUAGCCGGCCUGAGAGGGUGACCGGCCACACUGGGACUGAGACACGGCCCAGAAUCCUACGGGAGGCAGCAGUGGGGAAUAUUGCACAAUGGGCGCAAGCCUGAGGCAGCGACGCCGCGUGAGGGAUGACGGCCUUCGGGUUGUAAACCUCUUUCAGUAGGGAAGAAGCGAAAGUGACGGUACCUGCAGAAGAAGCACCGGCUAACUACGUG